RNAcentral lists this ribosomal RNA (253 nucleotides) under uncultured bacterium. Its description in RNAcentral is "partial 16S ribosomal RNA". It matches the Rfam family "Bacterial small subunit ribosomal RNA", at positions 524 to 776 of the family's 1533-position model. The record is from RNAcentral.
UACGGAGGAUCCAAGCGUUAUCCGGAUUUAUUGGGUUUAAAGGGUGCGUAGGCGGCCUAUUAAGUCAGGGGUGAAAGACGGUAGCCUAACUAUCGCAGUGCCUUUGAUACUGAUGGGCUUGAAUGUACUUGAGGUAGGCGGAAUGUGACAAGUAGCGGUGAAAUGCAUAGAUAUGUCACAGAACACCAAUUGCGAAGGCAGCUUACUAAAGUAUGAUUGACGCUGAGGCACGAAAGCGUGGGGAUCAAACAGG